GAAGGUAAAGCUCAGUGGUAGAGCACAUGCUUAGCAUGCAUGAAGUCAUGGGUUCGACCCCCCAGUACCUCCG
This 73-nucleotide transfer RNA is filed under the name Camelus dromedarius (Arabian camel). It matches the Rfam family "tRNA". Rfam says of the family: Transfer RNA (tRNA) molecules are approximately 80 nucleotides in length. Their secondary structure includes four short double-helical elements and three loops (D, anti-codon, and T loops). The record is from Rfam by way of RNAcentral. RNAcentral also lists the same sequence under 1 other name. Lineage: Eukaryota; Metazoa; Chordata; Mammalia; Artiodactyla; Camelidae.